GCACGGGGGGCCUACGGGAGGCAGCAGUGGGGAAUUUUCCGCAAUGGGCGAAAGCCUGACGGAGCAAUGCCGCGUGGAGGUGGAAGGCCCACGGGUCGUCAACUUCUUUUCUCGGAGAAGAAGCAAUGCCGGUAUGCGCGAUCCGGCUCC
This 150-nucleotide ribosomal RNA is filed under the name uncultured bacterium. RNAcentral describes it as "partial 16S ribosomal RNA". It matches the Rfam family "Bacterial small subunit ribosomal RNA", at positions 328 to 480 of the family's 1533-position model. The record is from RNAcentral.